GGGGGCGUGGCUAGCCGAGCUACAGAGCGGUCGAGGUUUUACUGAGCUCCCGCUCUAGAAGUGCAAAACUGUCUAUUUUGCCACAAAAGAGAGCAAAUUUUAACGUUGCCGACACCUGAGGGAACCCCCCAAGAGAGAGAUGGGGCGCAAACACCGAAGAUUUGCCCAAGCCGAGAGCAACAGUCACACAGAUAUCCGACUGUCCUUCACCAGGCCGCAGCCGCAGGCCCGAUCAAACAUGGCGCCCGUGGAAACACGCAGCUCCAGCG
This is a non-coding RNA of Pelobates cultripes (western spadefoot toad), 269 nucleotides long. NCBI's taxonomy places the organism in Eukaryota, Metazoa, Chordata, Amphibia, Anura, Pelobatidae. The record is from the annotation of a GenBank genome assembly.